GAUCAUAUAGCUCAGUGGUUAGAGCAUCCCUCAUGUGUUGGUGGAGGUCCUAGGUUCAAUCCCUGGUGUGGUCG
RNAcentral lists this transfer RNA (74 nucleotides) under Coprinopsis marcescibilis. It matches the Rfam family "tRNA". From Rfam's summary of the family: Transfer RNA (tRNA) molecules are approximately 80 nucleotides in length. Their secondary structure includes four short double-helical elements and three loops (D, anti-codon, and T loops). Lineage: Eukaryota; Fungi; Basidiomycota; Agaricomycetes; Agaricales; Psathyrellaceae. The record is from Rfam by way of RNAcentral.